AAAAUUUCACAAAAAAGGUUUUAAAUAUUUUAUAAAAAUUUUCACCAAAAUUAAAAAAAUAAAUAAAAAUUUGCGUUUCUAGAAAAAUGUUGGGUAUGCGGUUUAUAGCGCAUUGGUAUGC
This is a long non-coding RNA of Rhagoletis zephyria (snowberry fruit fly), 121 nucleotides long. RefSeq lists it as uncharacterized. The record is from RefSeq and is a predicted model, not a curated record. Lineage: Eukaryota; Metazoa; Arthropoda; Insecta; Diptera; Tephritidae.